GACUCGGUAGCUCAGGCGGUAGAGCAUCUGACUUUUAAUCAGAGGGUCCCGGGUUCGAUUCCCGGUCGAGUCACCA
Molecule: transfer RNA, 76 nt
Filed under: Erysipelotrichaceae bacterium
Lineage: Bacteria; Bacillati; Bacillota; Erysipelotrichia; Erysipelotrichales; Erysipelotrichaceae
Also listed under: 2 other names
Description: tRNA-Lys
Rfam family: tRNA
About the family: Transfer RNA (tRNA) molecules are approximately 80 nucleotides in length.
Source: RNAcentral